Molecule: long non-coding RNA, 156 nt
Organism: Poecilia latipinna (sailfin molly)
Lineage: Eukaryota; Metazoa; Chordata; Actinopteri; Cyprinodontiformes; Poeciliidae
Exons: 3
Source: RefSeq, a predicted model, not a curated record
UCCCCACAAGGGGAAACCCUGUUUUUGGGUCAGGGUGCAGAUUUAGGGCGAAGGUAUGAAUUGAGUUUUGGUAAGGGUUAGGUAUGUAAUGGGUAGGGUUAGCGUUAGUUUAAGGGUAAGGUUUAGGCUGUAGAAAUGAAUGGAUGUCAAUGGAAA